GAUGAACGCUGGCGGCGUGCCUAAUACAUGCAAGUCGAGCGAACGGACGAGAAGCUUGCUUCUCUGAUGUUAGCGGCGGACGGGUGAGUAACACGUGGAUAACCUACCUAUAAGACUGGGAUAACUUCGGGAAACCGGAGCUAAUACCGGAUAAUAUUUUGAACCGCAUGGUUCAAAAGUGAAAGACGGUCUUGCUGUCACUUAUAGAUGGAUCCGCGCUGCAUUAGCUAGUUGGUAAGGUAACGGCUUACCAAGGCAACGAUGCAUAGCCGACCUGAGAGGGUGAUCGGCCACACUUGAACUGAGACACGGUCCAGACUCCUACGGGAGGCAGCAGUAGGGAAUCUUCCGCAAUGGGCGAAAGCCUGACGGAGCAACGCCGCGUGAGUGAUGAAGGUCUUCGGAUCGUAAAACUCUGUUAUUAGGGAAGAACAUAUGUGUAAGUAACUGUGCACAUCUUGACGGUACCUAAUCAGAAAGCCACGGCUAUCUACGUG
Molecule: ribosomal RNA, 497 nt
Filed under: uncultured bacterium
Lineage: Bacteria
Description: partial 16S ribosomal RNA
Rfam family: Bacterial small subunit ribosomal RNA
Source: RNAcentral